UAAGCAAACUGAAUGUGAUUGUGUUGUGC
Molecule: non-coding RNA, 29 nt
Filed under: Mus musculus (house mouse)
Lineage: Eukaryota; Metazoa; Chordata; Mammalia; Rodentia; Muridae
Source: RNAcentral